CACCUGCUCACCACUCCCCAAUUAUCCUCACCUGCUGCUCAUUACCUCAUCAACCCCAGUAUCAUUAACACCAGUCCUCUGCCAUCCAUUCCCUGCCAGAUCAUUAAUGUUACUUUGUUGUAUACUUCCGUUCCAGCCACCUGUAGCCUGUUCCUGUUCCUGCCUUUACCAGUCCCCGCAGGUUCAUCAGUCUCAUCACUUCAUCAGCCUAUCAGUCUAAACAGAUGUCAUCAGCCACCACCAUCACCAGUGUCUGGACUCCAUGGGGGAUCUAUCUCACAGCUGCUCAGGGAUGCUGUCCCUGUAGAGGACACCAAAGACUUUUGUCAUGACUAAUCAUCUCUAUCUCUGUUAUAAUGAACAUUAUCUUUACUUCAUUCACAUGUCUCUCCUGAUUUGAAAUGAGAAAAACUAUGGUUGAGGUAUGGUUGGGAUGAGGCAACUAAAACACUUAAAUUAGUGAGAAAUUGUGGUUACGGUUAAUAAAAAGAGAAAGCCUUACACACUGGAUGCCCAAACCACUCUGCCAUCCACCCCCUCACUUUCCACUUUGCUUCAUAAAGGGCACAUUACUUCCUCCAUUAGUACUGAACCUUGUCACUGAUGGUAGACUCUCAGUUUUAUAAUUUUUGUGUUGAACAAGACGGUUAUGUGUGCAACAAUGUUUCUGAAAGUAGCAUAUACAUGUUCUGGAAUAAAAAAAGAAACAAGAAAUUCUAUAAAUUACACGCUUCUGAAUCUGUAAAAACACUUCAAAUUUCACUUGAAUCGUGUUUGUUCUAGCAUUUUAAAUUCUUUAAAUGGAUAAUUCAUGCAUACUUCUAAAGAUUUUAGUUCGGUUGUGAAGACGAACAACUCUCCCCUGAAGGCUGAAAAAGCCAAAUGUUCUCUCAGAAGCCUCUUCUGCUGUUGCUUUGUUGACAGUGAGCGGGGAAACUGUGUGUUCUCAUGAAAUAAACUGGUUUGAGAUUUUA
Molecule: long non-coding RNA, 974 nt
Organism: Thunnus maccoyii (southern bluefin tuna)
Lineage: Eukaryota; Metazoa; Chordata; Actinopteri; Scombriformes; Scombridae
Exons: 2
Source: RefSeq, a predicted model, not a curated record